AAAUUAUAGUUUAGAACAAAUGGACUUAGCAGAUAUUUACAGAACGUUCUACCCAACAACUGCAGAAUAUACAUUCUAUUCAUCAGCACAUGGAGCAUUCCCCAAGACAGACCAUAUUAUAGGCCACAAAACAGGUCUCAAUAAAUUUUAGAAAACUGGAAUUAUAG
Molecule: long non-coding RNA, 167 nt
Organism: Cebus imitator (Panamanian white-faced capuchin)
Lineage: Eukaryota; Metazoa; Chordata; Mammalia; Primates; Cebidae
Exons: 3
Source: RefSeq, a predicted model, not a curated record